Long non-coding RNA from Empidonax traillii (willow flycatcher), 252 nucleotides. RefSeq lists it as uncharacterized. The transcript is spliced from 4 exons. Lineage: Eukaryota; Metazoa; Chordata; Aves; Passeriformes; Tyrannidae. The record is from RefSeq and is a predicted model, not a curated record.
GAGGAUUUCCUGCGGCCGAGCAGCCGGGAGGAGGCGCAGCGGCUGCUGGAGGAGGAGCGGCUCAAGGUGGAGCGGGUGAUGGAGCGGCAGCAGCGGGAGAUGCUGGAGGACGAUCGGUGGCUGCGGCACGAGGUGGAGAGCCUGGACCCCACGGUGUUCAUGAACAACAACAACCUCCCCCCGCUGCUCCCGGAGAAGGAGACGGAUUACACGCAGUUCACGGGACCCCCCCAGAAGCCUCCGAGACUCGGG